Molecule: long non-coding RNA, 22499 nt
Filed under: Durio zibethinus
Lineage: Eukaryota; Viridiplantae; Streptophyta; Magnoliopsida; Malvales; Malvaceae
Description: long non-coding RNA (DZIB_LNC000738)
Source: RNAcentral
UUGGCGCUGCCCAAUAUCUAAAGAAACGAAAACAAAUGGAAAACUAAGGAUUUCCAGUUCCUAUAAAACAGGAAGAAUUGUUUCGGGUGCAGAUAUCAACUGCCACAAUUUUCUGGGAAAGUUUUUUUUUUUGGAACCCUGAUCAGAACAGAAUUAUACUUAAAAAGAAAAAGUGUCGACAGAUAAUAAUGACUUCAAAUACCGUGAUAGAUUGAAAUUCCGACUUCCUUUUAUGGAUCUCAAAUCAACCUGAAUUUUUGGGCUGUCUGAGUGAAUUAUAAGGAAACGGAGCCAAAAGGUGAUUAAAUUGCUUUUGCAGGACCUGAUUACAAAUGUAAAAGCAAGUGCGGGGUUGGAUUUCGGAUUCAAGGUUAAACAUACAAGGCGUGUUUGGUUCGCUUCAUAAACGUGUUUUCGGGACCCGGCUGAUGAAAUUGUGAAAAUGAGAAAUGUUAAAUUCGAAAGAGAAGCUUAUGGUUUUGUAUUGUCCUUAAUUACUCCUUUAAUAUGUUGGCCCUAUUGUUUGUGUCGGUUUUCCAUCAAAGGAAAUUGUUAAUAUCAAAUUCCUAUUUCUAUGGGUUCAAUAUUUUUCCUUUUUUCAAAUCAAUAUGAAUAAUGUUUUUCUUUUUUACUUAAAAUUGCUUUAAAAUUUAAGUUUGAUAAUUAAAAGUAACAAAUCUAACAUUUUACCUACAAAUUACAUAAUUGUUAAUUUAAUUUUUUCUCUCCCAAUGAAUAAGAAAGAGAAUUUCAUAUAUCAAAUUCUUUCAUAGCAAUUUUUAGUGCUUUUUAGGUAACUACAAUGAAACAUGACAAAGUUUUAAAAUAAAACCUAAUAUAAAUACAAAAUAAAACAAAAAAAUAUACGAAAUUAAAUUGAUUUAAAAUUUUAAUAAAAAAUAUGUAUGAGAUUGAUAAAAUAAAAAAAUAUAUUUUGAGUAUUUUGUACACUGAUGUAAAUUUAAUAUGAUAAUUUUUAUAUUUUAAAUAUAUUUGAUACUAUAUAAAUACAAUAUAAAUACAUCAAUAACAUAUUUUUUUAAUUAAGAAUUUUAAACAUAAUUUAUCAUAAAGGUUGAACUUAAAUAUCAUUUUAAAAUUUAUAAAUUCAUUUGAUAUUUAUUAACUUCGAUGAAUGAAAGCACAGAAAUAUGAUACAUUAACAUCAAAUUAUUAAAANNNNNNNNNNNNNNNNNNNNNNNNNNNNNNNNNNNNNNNNNNNNNNNNNNNNNNNNNNNNNNNNNNNNNNNNNNNNNNNNNNNNNNNNNNNNNNNNNNNNNNNNNNNNNNNNNNNNNNNNNNNNNNNNNNNNNNNNNNNNNNNNNNNNNNNNNNNNNNNNNNNNNNNNNNNNNNNNNNNNNNNNNNNNNNNNNNNNNNNNNNNNNNNNNNNNNNNNNNNNNNNNNNNNNNNNNNNNNNNNNNNNNNNNNNNNNNNNNNNNNNNNNNNNNNNNNNNNNNNNNNNNNNNNNNNNNNNNNNNNNNNNNNNNNNNNNNNNNNNNNNNNNNNNNNNNNNNNNNNNNNNNNNNNNNNNNNNNNNNNNNNNNNNNNNNNNNNNNNNNNNNNNNNNNNNNNNNNNNNNNNNNNNNNNNNNNNNNNNNNNNNNNNNNNNNNNNNNNNNNNNNNNNNNNNNNNNNNNNNNNNNNNNNNNNNNNNNNNNNNNNNNNNNNNNNNNNNNNNNNNNNNNNNNNNNNNNNNNNNNNNNNNNNNNNNNNNNNNNNNNNNNNNNNNNNNNNNNNNNNNNNNNNNNNNNNNNNNNNNNNNNNNNNNNNNNNNNNNNNNNNNNNNNNNNNNNNNNNNNNNNNNNNNNNNNNNNNNNNNNNNNNNNNNNNNNNNNNNNNNNNNNNNNNNNNNNNNNNNNNNNNNNNNNNNNNNNNNNNNNNNNNNNNNNNNNNNNNNNNNNNNNNNNNNNNNNNNNNNNNNNNNNNNNNNNNNNNNNNNNNNNNNNNNNNNNNNNNNNNNNNNNNNNNNNNNNNNNNNNNNNNNNNNNNNNNNNNNNNNNNNNNNNNNNNNNNNNNNNNNNNNNNNNNNNNNNNNNNNNNNNNNNNNNNNNNNNNNNNNNNNNNNNNNNNNNNNNNNNNNNNNNNNNNNNNNNNNNNNNNNNNNNNNNNNNNNNNNNNNNNNNNNNNNNNNNNNNNNNNNNNNNNNNNNNNNNNNNNNNNNNNNNNNNNNNNNNNNNNNNAUUUAUUUAUUAUUAUUAUGUAUUAAUAUAUGUAUAUCUUUAUUUAUUUAUUUAUUUAUUAUUUUCUUUUUUUAUUUAUUUUUUUCUGUUAAUAUUUAUAUGUAUUUAUUUAUUAGUUAUAUUUAUUAUUAUUAUUAUAUUUUUUUUAUCUUGUAAUAUUUUUUUGGAUUUAUCUUAUUUUAUUUUUUUAAUUAUCUGUUAAUUUUAUUUUAUUCAUGUAUCUGAUUUUUUUUAUUAUCUGAUUAUUAUAUUAUUUUUUUAGGACUGUGAUUGAAAGUUAAAGAAUCCCACUAUGAAUGAAAAUUCAAUCAGAAGAGUCCAGAUUGGAUUCAAAGAUUAAAUUCCCAUCCAAUGAGGAAUUGGGAUUGAUCAGAAACUCCUGAUCAAUCCCUAUAAAAGGGACCUCUUGGAACAGAUGCAACACACAGAAAAAAACAGUGAGCAAAGCUACUGAUUUGAGAGAAAAAGAGGUAUAUAAGAAGCUAAGAAAAGGUUUAGGAGUGUUCUGGGAGCUAACAAAAAUUUUUUGACGAUUUUUGGCGAUUUUUUUUCUGGGAAUUUUUGGAAAAUUUCAGAUUUCGGUUGAAUUUUUCGAUGAAGUUUGAAUUUUCUGGCAAAGAUUCCGGUCAAAUUUGAAGUUUUCGAUGAGCUGCCCAGUUUUCGGUGAAGAAUUCCAAAAAUCGACAACCUUCCGAUCAACUUCCGGUGAACUUCCGAUGAAAUUUUUCAGAUUCUGAUGAAAUUUUUUAGAAUCUGACGAACAUUCAACCGGAGUUCUUCAGCCUUUUAGAGAGAAGGAAGAGGAAAAAAGAAUAAGAGAGAGAAAAGAGAGGAGUGUUCUGUCGAAAAACAGAGGAAAGGACCUUAUAUACCCUUCCAAAACGAUGUCAUUUUGGCCUUAAGUAAUCCAGAGGAUCCGCGCGUUUUGCCAAGAUCCGACCCGACCCGAGCGUCGAUCCGCUAUCUGACCCGCGCGUAUCUGCCCCCUCCGAGCUGAGUCGAGCCGAGCUCCAAAGCCGCUUCUCCGAGCCGAUUUUUUCUUCCUUGAGCCAAGCCGAUAGCCGAGCAACUCCAGGUUUUUUUUUUUUUUGGAAUUUUUUUAUUUAUUUGUUUAUUUGUUUUAUUUAUUUAUUUAUUUAUUUAUUAGAUUAGAUUUAUUUAAAAUUUUUUAUCUUUAUUUUAUUUUUAUUUUUGUUUUACUUUUCUUUAUUUUUUUUAUCUUUAUUUAUUUUCACUUUUAUUUUGUUUUAUUUUCUUUAAAUAAAAAUCAAAAAAAUAUUUUUGGAGAAAAGUUGAAAGUAUCAAUUUUCCUUAAAAAUAAAAUUUCAAAAAAAGGGUUUUGAGGAAAAGUUGAAAGUAUCAAUUUUCUUUAAAAAUCAAAAUUUUCAAAAAAAUAUUUUUUUAGGAAAAGUUUAAAGUAUCAAUUUUUCUUAAAAUUAAAAUUUCAAAAAAAGGUUUUGAUGAAAAGUUGAAAGUAUCAAUUUUCCUUGAAAAUCAAAGUUUCUAAAAAACAUCUUUGAGGAAAAGUUGAAAGUAUCAAUUUUCUUUGAAAAUCAAAGUUUUUUCAAAAAAAAUAUUUUUGACGAAAAGUUGAAAGUAUCAAUUUUUCUUGAAAAUCAAAGUUUCCAAAAAAAAUAUAUAUAUUUUUGGGGAAAAGUUGAAAGUAUCAAUUUUCCCUACACAAGAAUAAUUAUCCUUUCCUUCUUUUCUAUUUUGAUUUUGAUUUUGAUUUUUUCCUUUAAUUAAUCUGACGACAGAGCCUCUACAAGUGAAACAGUAGUUUUUUUGCAUACUCUUGAGGUAAGGGAAUUUUCUCGAUUUUCUGCUAAAAGUAUUAGAGUUAAUUGAGAAUAAUUUCCAAUAAUUAAUUACUUGGUAAAAUUUUAAGGCUCAUUGGAUAACAUAAAUUUAAGCUGGUACCAUCUUUUGAUGGGCGUUGUGAGGGUGCUACAACCUUUCUCACACGUAACCGAACCCUGUUCUGGUUAGCAGAUCUGAAUCUAUUCUUUUAGGGACCCUUAAACUUAGGUGUUCCCUGAAAGGACAGAUUCCUUAGGUGGCCAAUCGCACCUAGAUAAAAAAGAUUGGUGACGACUCCCUAAAAGUCAAUGUCUAGCGAUAGAUCCCCGGAUCUAGACAUUAUGACAAAAUUUAUUAUAAAAAAAAAUCAAUCAAGACAAAAAAAAACUAAGAAAAAAAAACAAAAAUAUUAGGAAAAACAAAUUUUCAAAAAAAAAAACUAAAUAAAAAAAACUUUUAAAAACUUUUGAAUCGUUACUCGAACAAAAUUAUUGUCUAUGCCUUUACUCUAUUCUUGAUUCUUAGUUAUGUGUAAAAAGGGAUAGCUGUAGAUACUUAAUUUUAUCCAGGUUAAUUCAAAUUUGUUUAAUUUUUUAUGCUCAAUUUGCAUGUUCUCAUUUGAAUUAAUUGGAUUUGUUCAAACUUGUUCAAAAGUACUCAUUUUUUAUUAAAUUGUUAUUAUUAUUAUUUAAAAUUAAUCAAAUUAAUUGAAAAAUUACAAAAAAAUUAAUUAAUUAAUUAAAAUUAAAUUACAAAAAAGGCAGAAAAACAUAAUUAAACAACAAAUGGUAAUGGCCAGCAAUGUCAGGGGCUCUCCUACCCACUCCACACCACGAGCAACCAAAUCUCCAACUUGUUUUUCAGAGGCAACACUUGUGUUACUGUAAUAGGGUUCUAUGAUUGGCUCUGCAAGACAACAAAAAUUUCAUAGAUUAAAAACCAAAGGAAAAACAUAAAGAGGGGGGAGGUUCCAAUAUCCAUCUUUCCUCCAAGCGAUCAAUUUUCAUUAGUUUUUGUACCCAUAACCUGGCCAAUCUUCAGCAUGGGACCUCCAAGACUUGAUCACCUUUAUCAACUCUCCUAUGCACCCUUCUAGACCAUCAAUUAGUCUUGCCAACUUUAUAGCCCCAAAUCAUGCCAUACACAACAUCCCCCAAGCAUCUAGCCAUCUACACCUCAUGAGCACCUUCAUCCAACCCCAACCUCUUAAUCGACCUCGCCUAAACCUAAAAAACCACCUUUAUGGUACUAGCCUUCUAUGACCAUAAAACCAAGCACCAUUAACAACCUUGCCCACACCCUUCACCUGUGUAACAGCCCACCCUUGUCCCAGCCCUACCCAAUCCUAACCAACCCAACACUAGUCUCAACCAACCCCAACACCAUCAACAACCUUAACCCAGACCUCCAAUCUCCACCAAAAAAUGACCAAGAAGUCCCACAGUGGGUGCCAUCCCCUAAAACAUCUAAUACCACACCCAGUUGCUCACCACCUUGUGCUGCCCCAUCACAAACUCAUCCAUUACCAAAGUGGCUGAUUUUUUUUUUAAAAGUUGUUUUUAAGUUUUUUUUUUUUUUGUAAAAAGAGAAGAAAUGAAUUGAAAAAACAAAGUGGUUUAUAUAUAAGCAAAUAGGCCAAAAUGACAUCAUAUAAGACCCUCAGGGUCCGCAUGCCAACCCACGGGUUGACCCAAAACUCGCAUGCCCGACCCGUCAUAACUCCCUCAGCCACAACCUAAAGUGAUCCAAUUGAACCAAUAUCGAAUCGGGCUAAGCAGCUGAACCAUGUGAAAAUUGAUCCAAACCGCCCAUGAACUACCCAAACCACACAUAAACUGCCCAGACUACAUAAAUUGGCUGAAUCAUUAACUAAAUUGUUAACUGGUAUGGUUCAAUUUUUUUAUUUUAUUUUUUUAUUUUUUUAUUUAUUUAUUUUUUACUAUUAUUAUUUGUUUUAUACAUUUGUGUUCCAGAAUAAUUUUUUUAUUUUAUUUAUUUUAAAAAAAUAAUAAAGUUUAAAUUUUUAAUAAUUUUAAAUUCCAUAAAAAAUUUUAAAACAAAAUUUUUUCAUAAAAAAAUAAAAUUAACUAAAAUAAGAAUAAAAAUAAUUAAAAAUAAAGAAAGAAAAUUCUUAUCUGAUGAUGAGAUUUUAAGGUAUUCCGAAUAAUGAUGCCUACGAAAUCUCUAGGUAUGAAAAUUGUUUUUAAAUACUACCAACAUAUUGAAAUAAAAUUUUUGCUAAACUAAAAACUAUUAAUAAAAAUAAAAAUUAACUAAAAAUAAAUAAAAAUAACAAAAAAUUAUGGAAAAGAAAAUUUUGCCUAACAAUGGGAUGUUAAGAUAUUCCGAGUAGUGAUGUCUUAAAAAUCUCUAAGUGAAAAAAAAAUUUAAAAUACUACAAAUAUAUUAGAGUAUUUAUAAAAUUUUUUCAAUAUUAUAAAAACCUCUAUUUUCUUUUAAAAAUAAAUAAUAAUUAAAAAACUAAUAAAAUUUUAAAAAAUAAAAUAAAAUGUGUGCAUUAAUAUAUUAUCAUUUGUACUACAAGCAUGUCUUUAUUUUUAUGAAAAAUAAAUAUAAGCCUUCAAAGAUAAGAUUCUAACAUAUUUCAAGAAGUGAUGCCUAAAAAAUCUCUAGGUAAGGAAAAGUUUUUUUAAUGUCACCAACGUAUUAGAAUAUUUUAAGAAUUAUUUCAAUAAAAGGGUUUCAAUUUAUUUUUCUCGAAUAAAACAAAUAACAAAAAAAGAAAAAAAUUGAUAAAUAAAAAAAAUCAAGGAUUAUUUUUUUCAAACACCAAAACUAAUAUCGUUUUUGUCAAGAUUAAUGGAUAACAUGUAAUUAAUUGAUACCAUUUUAAAUGAGCACUUUGGGGAUGCUAAUCCUUCGCCAUGUGUAAUUGACUCCCUGACCCAAACUGUUUCAUAGAUCCUAAAAUUAUUUUUUUAAUAAAUUUUAAUUAAUUUUAAUAUUUUAUUAAAAUGAUAUGUUUUAAUAAGUGACCAAUCACAUUUAGGCAAAAAAGAAUGGUGACGACUCCUUUUUAUUUUCAAAUUCGUCUAGCAAUCCCCAAAAUCGUUAUGACACAUCUGAUUCCUUAUGGUAACCAAAUCCUCUAAAUUAUUUUAUGUAAGAUUCAAAUGCACUUUUUCUAGCAACUUUGAUACAAAACCAAUAGAUAAGCAAUCCUCUUUCUUUUGCUGAGUCUUCUUGGACCAUUCAUGCACUCAUUGUAUGAUUCACAUGGGGUACUUACAGAAGAAGAACAUAUCCAUAACACUGUGGGAUCCAUGAAAAGAAACUUUGCUAAAAGAUGUCUUGGAACAAAUACCUUACUAUAUUAUUAUAGUAUACCAAUAUAAUUUAUGCAACAGAAAUACAAGAAGAGAAACAAAAAUGAUAAGUUAGUAUAUAAAAAAAUGGAAAUAAUAAAUAGUAAUAAAAGCUUGAAAUAUGAAAAAGACAAAAAAAAAGUUUUCUCUUUAUAUUAUCUUUAGAAAAAGAAAAGGAAAUGAGACAAAGAUAUUAUUUUUGUUUUCAAGAAAUCAAAACAAAUAAGAAUACAUAAAUUUAUGAUUUGCUUUAGAAAAGUAUUAAAAUACAAAUAUUCCCUUACUUGUCCUAAUUUUCAGGGAUGAUUUACAAAUGGUGGACAUGGCUCUACCAAGGGUUAGCUCUUAUAGCUUAUUAUAUGCUUGGUUCGAAUUUUAUUGUGUCUAAAAAGCUCCCAAAUUACUCCUCACUGACAUUCAAUUUGGACUAGUAAAACACCUUGAUCCUCAUCUAUUAUAAGUUAUAAACAAAAAUUAUUCAAUUUGAGUUUUAAUUUGAGUGAAAGUAUUUUACUUGUCAUUGCGAAAGUUAUUAUCUCACGAGAAUAUAAAUACUUUACUCCCUCUUAAAAGGGUUAAAGUUCGGGUAUAGAGCUCAUGUAUGAUAUGAAUAUAUCAUGUGUGAUUGAGGGAACAGAGUAUUAUAAUCCUUAUUCUAAGUACCUCAUAAUAACUACAAUAACAUAUACAAACCAUAAAAUAAACAAGCAAAAAUAAAUAAAGUAAUAAAUGAAUCGUUAGAAUGAAAUGCAAAUUAUUAUUAUUAUUAUUAUUAUUAUUAUUAUUAUCAAUAUUAUAAAGAACAAAAUUAAGGAAAUUAAGGUUAGAUACUAAUUAAGACCGUUAAAUUGAAAUUAAAAAUAACACAUCAUUAACCUUUUGCCAUACUCUCUAAAAAAAUAACGUCUCUAAUAGAAUUGUCAGUUGUCAUAAUAGUUUUGGGGAUCACUAGAUGAAUUUGACAAACAAAAAAGAGUCGUUACUAAUUUUUUUUAGCUAAAUAUAAUUAGUCACUUAUUAAAACUUAUCUUUUUAAUAAAAAUUUUAAAAUUAAAUAAAACUUUAUCAAAAAAAUAAUUUUUUGGUUUACAAAAAAAUUUUGGUUUCAAAAUUGGUUAUGCAUAAGAAAAAAUUAACAUCCUUACUAUGCUCGUUAAAAAAAAUUAUUAAAUUAAUCAUUAAUUAUCUUUUAAUUUUGAUAUUUUAAAAAAUUAAUUUUUUUUUCUUUAUUGAGAAGGAACUACCUUUUUCUACCAAAUUUCCUUAAAAGCUGUGACCUUCCUUUCCUUCGAUCAAGUUCCAACCUUUCCUUCAAGCUUUUCUUUUCGUGUGCUUUUUUUUUUUUUUUUUUUUUUGCCGCCGAACCUCUCUUUGUCUUCCUUCUUUUUUUUUUCUUUUUGCCUUCUUUUCUAAGCACUUUCCCUUGUCACUUUUUUCGCUUCCUCUGGUUCCUUUUUUUUUUUGUUCUUAUAAUAUCUUCCUUUUUUUUUUUUGUUUUCUCCUUCCUGCAAACUCUCAUGUUUUUCUUUUUUCUUUUCCUCGCUUUCUCCUCCUCCUUCUUUCCUUUCUUUUUUUUCUUCUUUGAAUCGCCCUCCCCCUUUUUAAACUUCAAACCAGCAACCUCCCUAGCAGAAACUGCUGAAUGCCUCAUCCACUACUUGUACCAGCCCACUAACCGUUGUCGUUUUCUCUACAGGUUUUUUAUGUGCUAGUACCACAGACUUUUCCAUCUCUUUUGUGGCAAACCAGCUUACUUAUAGCUGGUUGUCUCCUAGUGUAUCAAAUUUCACGUGGUAAAAUGGGAUCCUUUUAUUUUAAAGCAUUGUUCACAUGGACUUUAAGCUUUCUAAUCAUGUCCAUUUCUUUUUAUUGUCUUGGGAUUUCAUUAAAAUGAGUUUUUCAUUCCUAUUUUUAUAAAAAGGGUCCAUGCUGAGUAGCUUAUGUUUUGAGUCAUUUUUAACGAUGCAAUUUGAGUUUCUUUUUUUUUAAUUCUUUUAUUAUUAUUUUUUUAAUUGACCUAAAAAUAGUCAUAUUAAAAUUCUUAUUCGACUUCUAAAUGGGCCUUUUAAAACGAACUAUGCAUAGGUAUUGAUUUGACAAUCAAUUAAGCAUGUAAUUAGACUCUUUUUCAGGUUUAAUGGGCCUUGAUUGGGCCCCAUUUUUUUAAUAAUUUUGCAAGUCAAAAAUCAAUCACUGUUAAAUCAUUAAUUUUAGUUUUUGUUUUAUACCUACAACACGGCUCAAAAUCAACAGUGUUAAAUUAUUUCAGAUAAAAUUAUAUUAUAAUCUAAAUUGAUAAAAUAAAAUUAGUAUUUAUAAUUAGUAAAACUAAGUGUUUGAGGGUUUAACUAAAUCACACAAAAAAUUUAAGAUUUGAUUAAUUAUAAUAAAAUAUCAAUGAUUUAAAUUAUUGUUGAAUUUUAUUUGAAAGUUUUUUUUUUUACCCUUAUGCCAUUUUUUUUAACUCAUGUACUAAAUUAAACGUUUUUCGACAGUUCUGGCGGGAGUUAUAGAUAAUAUUAUCUUUAUUUUAUUUUAUUUUUAGACAAAACAAAGUAUAACCACCCCCUACCCAAAAUUUAGGUGGCCAAGGCGCUUGAAUUUUUAGUGGUACGUCUCGAUGGAAAAUCUUGACAUGCAAUAGUCGUCUUUGUAAUUACUUCUCAAGUCCAACCCUGAAAGGAACUUAAUGGCAAUUUCCUCGACCAGGCACCUGAUUAGCCUUGGAGUUUCAUGCUUUUAUGAUUAAAUCCCAACUGACAACUGUAGACUGUAGUAUGGUUUUUCAAAGAAGGGGGUAAAUGUAAUCUAGGUCUCCCUUCUUUUUCACUUUAAAUGAUAUAAGAAAAUAAUGGAAAAGACAAACAAAAAUACGGUUUUAUGUAGGAUAGAUUCAAAACAAAAUUAUGUUAAUCAAGGAAAAAAAAAAGAGAUAGUAACAAAGUUGGACUUUGAGCUGUAGUGAUCCAAAUUCAAUUUCAGAUAGUUAAAAUAAAAAAAUAAAAAAAGGAAAGAGCGUCAACAUAUUUGUUGCAAACAACAGUUUCAUAGUCAAUAAAUCCCAUUCAGAUAUAACAAGUUCAAUAGUAGCUUUCAAUUCUGUUAACUCAGGCACUACAUUCCUUUCUUUUCUUCUUCAAAUUUGUUAAUGGAACCCAUUUGUUGCAUUUUUAUGAGUGAACAAGAGAUUGGAUUCAGUUACUGUAAGGCCUAAGACAUGAAGAGAGGAAUUUGGGGUCAGUCCACCGCUUGAGGUGAUGAACAGCAUUGUGUAUCUUCAACUGAUAUUUCAGUCGCAUCAUCGAUGGCAACAGGACUUAUUCCCCUUUCAACUUUCUGUCCGCCACCAUUUUUUAACAUCUCUCUUUCCAAGUGGAAGCAAUAGCUCUCGAAGACUCGGGAGCUAACUGUGACUCCAAAAUCCAAUAGGAAAAGUAGUUCUAGUUCUAGCCUGUUCAGUUCAGCAUUGCUCACUCCUCCGACCCGAGCAAAGAAGGCAUUGUUAUAAUGCCUGCAUUACCAACAACCAAAUAAAAUUUAAAAACAACAAGAACAAAAAUAGCUGUUACAUGAUUGUUUCAUUUGUCAUGGGAAACAGAAAAAGGGUUGUCAGUGUAGGGCAGGGGCAAAGGCACAAGCUAUGGCCCUUACAUCAUCUAUUUUUCACCUAAUUUUCUAUGUACAAAAAAUACAAUGAAUUUGAACCAAAACUCAUGCAUUUUUGUCUUUUCAUCCAUUAAUCCCAUUACUCCAAAGAGCCAGAAAAACUAAAACUUAAAGAAACCGCAUUUUAUCAGACAAUGAAAUGCUGCAUUUGUUAGUUGAAUCGCGUGACUAAGAUUAACCAACAUCAAAGAUAGCCCAUUUUUACUUCACAAAAAGAAGACAUAAGAAUUAGAGCAGCCCACUUUUCCUUCACAAAAAAGAAGACAUAAGAAUUAGAGCACUUACGCAUCAUCAAGAAUCUUAGAAGCAACCAUGACACUGGCAACCAGCAAUCUAUGCACAUUCAAGGAUAUGACGAGCGAGUCAGGAUGUUUAUGCGCAAGCCUGUCUAUAAAAACAUAUCCUACCACAAAGCAGGAAGGGCUACAAUUUGUGUACUUAUAUAUCCUCUCCAAGUACUUUGUUAUGCUUAUAUUUGGAGCCCUAACGCCAUCAAAGGCAUGCAAACUUUUCCCUAGCCAGGCAGAGCUACCAUUGAAGUUCAACCCAUCUAGCUGCUCCCUCAGGACCUCAACAAGCCUGUCGUUUCGGGCUACUAGCUUUUCUAGCACUGUAGAAAUUAUGGUCAGGACUCUUGGCGUUGUCGUCUCGGUAUCCGGCUGCCGGAUUUGGUGGGUGGGAUAGUCGUCAGUGGCUAACAUUUAAUCCAUUGUGAAGAAAAGUUUUGGAGACAUUUGGGUGGUUAAGAGCCAAUUGUUUGACUAGUGUUCAUAACAGAUGCUACAAAAGUUUGUGAUUGAUUUUUUAUGUGAAUAAGAAGAGGGAGUUUGUUUGGAUGGUGGAGAUGCCAGGCUCGUGGCUGGCUUCGAGUGAUUUUGAGCCGCUAGAUUUAACUUGGCUCCACGCGUGGAUAACAGAAGAUUGAGUUUACUUGGAUAGCAACAAUUCGUUCGAAUGCGUAGUGGACGCUAUCAUAUUGGCUCCCUUUCAAUUACUUCUUGUUGCGUAAUAAAAUUAAACCUAAUAAUUUAGACAAAGAUUCAAUGAUUAGAUAUAAAAAUUAUAUAAAAAAAUCAUAUAUGUAUUUAAUAAAAAUAUUUUUUUGUUUUUAUUCAUGUCAAUAAGAGUUUCGAUAUAACAUAAUUUGUAUUUUAUACGUAUUAAUACAUCUAAAUAUAUAAUACAAUAUGAAUAAUACAUUUGAUUUAAUCUUAUUAUAUGAAUAUACGUUUAAUAUGUUGAACAUAUUUUUUAUAUUUUAAUACAUUUUUAUAUUUAUUUUAAUUUAAUAUAAACAUAUAAUGAUUAUUUUAUUUUUUAAUCUUUUAAUUGUGAUACUUAAUUAGUUAUUUAAUAAUAUAUAAAAAUUAUUAAAAAUAUUUAAUUAUGAUAGUCAUUUAAUUAUUAUAAAUUAUUUUUUAUAAUAAUAAUAUAAAUAUAAUAUUAAUAUUAAUAUUAGUCUUAUACAUUAUUAUUUUAUUCUUUAAUCUUUCAUAAUUUAUCAUUACAAAUUUGAUACAAAAAAUUAAUAUAGUUAUGUAAUAUAUAUUAAAAUUUAAAUAUAUAUUAAAUACAUAUUAAAUGGGUAUUAAUUUUUUAUUUUUUAAUAUAUAUAAGUACUUUUUAUAUUAUUAAUAUGUCAAAUUUAUUAAGUGAUAAAUGAUAUAUAGUUUAUAAUUAUUUAUUACUUUAGUCAUAUACUUAUAUAUAUUCGUAUUAAUCGUGUCUAUUUGUAUAUAUCUGUAUUAAUCGUGUUUGUUUAUAUAUAUCCGAGUUAUUUAUGUUUAUUCGUGUUAUAUUUAAACAGAUUAAUUGUACACAUAUUAAUUGUAUCAUAUCACGUGUAAUUGUAUAAUAAAUGUUUCGUAUUCAUAAUUUUAAAAUUUAAAUAUAUUUUAUAAUUCUUACCAUGUUUAUUUUAAUAAUUAACUUCAUUACAUACGUCAAAUACAAUAUGAGACAUGAUACAAAAAUAAGAAUUAUUAAAUCUAAAUAAAAUUUAGAAGAUAACCCAUUGAAUUUUUUUUAAUGAGUUGCAAAUGAAAUUUUUUAAUAAUUAAAAAUUGUUAAUACGUUUAUUUUAAAAUUUGCUCAAUAAAAAAUAUUGAAUAAGAUAAAUAGAUAAAGAUUUACAUAUUACCUAAUACAAAAAAAAAUUCAAUAAUUUUUUUUUAUUUUAAACUACUAUCCUUUAAAAAUAUUAUUUUAUUAUCUACAACAAAAAUAAAGUAAAAUUAUAAAAUGAUAAAUUUUUAGAAUUUAACAUUUUAUCAUUUUUUUUAUUAUUUUGAUCUCUAAUCAUGGUUUUUGAGUAUAUUUUAUGUUGGUUAUCAACCUAUUACAACCUUCUUGCUUUAUUCAGGAUUGAGACUAGCAAUGUAGUAACCCAUAAGAAAAAAGAUAAUUAACAUAGUUAAAAAUAUGUAUGAAAAAAUUAUAACAAAUAUGAGGAUGAUUAUAAGAGUGACUAAUAACUUUCCCAAUACCUCAAAUUUGCAUCAAAGUUCAACACUAAGUUCUUUUUUUUUUUUUUUUUUGUACUAGUUAUAAAUGAGCUCAUUGAACAAAUCCAAAAUAAGAUAUCAUGGUGUAUGUUAUUUGCUUAUAAAUAUAAUCUUAGUUAUUGAAACUAGUGAUGAUUUCAAUACAAAAUUAAAACUAUUGAAGCAUAUAUUGGAUUCUCGAAACUUUAAAUUAAGUAUAUUUAAAACUGAAUAUAUAAAAUGUAAAUUUAAUAAUCAUAGGGAAGUGAAUGCUAACAUGAUUAAGUUGGAUGUUGAUAUAAUACCAAAAAGUACUCAUUUUUAAUAUUUAAGAUCAAUUAUUUAGAACGAUACUGAAAUAAAAAAUGAUGUAAAUUAUAGGAUUCAAAUAGAAUAGGUGAGAUGGCAAAGUGUUUGUGUAAUUACAACAUGCCUUUAAAAUUAAAGGUGAAGUUGUAUAAAAUAAUUGUAAAGCUUAGAUUGUUAUAUGAAAUUUAAUGUUUGAUCAUUAAGAAACAAUAUGAAAAGAAAAUAAGCAUAGCUGAAAUGAGAAUGCUUAGAUAAGUAUGUGGUAAUACUAGAAGAGACAAAAUUAGAAAUGAAAAAAUUCGAAAAAAAAUUAAAAGUAAUAUCAAUUAAGAAAAUAUAAGAAAAAGUCAUUUAAGAUGGUUUAGAUAUAUAAAACAUAAGUCUAUUUGUGCACCAAUUAAGAGGAGUGAGAUUUUAUAUUUAGGUAAAAUCAAAAUUUUUAAAGAGAAAUUGCGAUAGAGGUGGAUGCAAGUAAUUAAAAAUAAUAUGAGUUAAGAAGUAGAUAAAAAGGUUGUUGUUGAUAAAAAUAUGUGGCAUAUGAAAAUUUAAAAUUAUGAUUUAACAUGAUUCUUUUUUUGACCUUUCAUAUAACCAGCUCUAAAGUUAUGUGAUAUCAAAUUUAAUGUGUUUUUGCAAUAUUUUACCUUUUUUAUCUAAUGAUAUAUUUAUACAUAGCAUUCAAUUUUUAAUAAAAUACCAAAUAAUUUUGAUAGUUAAUACUUAUUAAGUUCAGUAUUAAUUUAGUACUUAAUUUUUUAAUUUGUCAAAUAUAAAUUUUUACUUUUUAUUGAUGUUAUUACGUGGCAUUUACAGCAUCUGGACUUUAUUCUUGUGCUAUCUAGACAUGCUUAAGAACUGGUUGUCUCCAAAGAUGACUGUUAGAUUAAAUCUUGCUCCAACUGAGAAGAGUACAUCGUGAAGGCUUUGAAAAGUGGCAUUACAGACUGGCCGCAGUGGCAGGACAUAGGAGUUUGCAACAUCGAUCUGGGUAGUUAAAGCUGCAAUUUGUUACCAUCAAUGGUUGCGGCGACAGUGCUGCUCUUUCCUUUCUAAAUUGGCGGUUGUGGAGCUGGGACCUUCCCACACGAGUUCAGCAUAUAUAUGAUACUUUCACAAUCAUAUAAAACGAAAACCAUGGGAAAUCCAGCAGUAACUUAUAUUAACUUUUUUUUUUUUUUCAUUUGAUGCAUGAAUGGAUGAGGAUCUCUCCAGUCCAACUCUUCAAUAUGCAAUCAGCAGACAAGCUUCCUAACAUAUUUUCAAAACGAAAAAAAAAAUGUUGACUCCUCUAAGAGUCGAAGAUAUCUCCGAAUAAGUAUGAACGUAUUAAUAAAAGAAUUUUGAUAUGAUCAUAUAUAUAAUUCAAAAAUGAAUGAUUAAAACCUUUCUUUGGCAGAAAAUAUGGAGGUUAUCAAUCAUGAUGAUAGAUAAACCCCCCAUGAAGCUGUUAUCAAAGAUAAAAUCAUUCGGCAAUCUAUACAUCGUGGUCAUUAGAAGAAAGUAAUUUCACUUCCUCAUUGGUUGGAUCAUUCAUGGAGAGCUGAAUAUUUGACCUGGAGUUCAUUUUAUUCCACUCAUUCUCUACACGGAAGAAAAUCCAUUGGAAACGGCGGAAAAUCUCCAAAGCAGCAAUGGUAAACACCGUAAGGUAAUUGUGACGGAGAUGAGCUGACAGUUUGUACGUCCAUGUGCAUCGUAGGAUCAAGUUGCUUCCUAUCACCCAAAAGUAAACCUGCAAAUCAAUUCCACAGACACAUGAGAUAAUUGAGUGAGCGCCAAUGGUCCACUAAGUACACCAGAAAAGUUAACUGGUCAUGGAAGGUAAGAACAAGUUUCUUAUGGAGUUUGCUUAUAUUUUAGAUAUGAAGUUGCAUGUAAAAAUUGACCAAUUAGUUAGGACACAUGAAUUCUCCAAUUCGGCCAGUUUAUACCAUUGCUGAUGCUUAAAGUUCAAGUGUUGAACUAAUCAAAUUUCUUAAAUUGUUGAAGCAGAUAAGUAUAAAAGCAUUGCUCUGACUUUGGUGCUUUAAUAUGAUAGGAAUAGCUUACCCAUGUUCGUCCAUGUAACAGGCGUGAGUAGAGAUGUGAUUUAUUGAACUUGAAAGUUCGAGUGAAGCCACUAGCAGGAAAGAAAAAAUAUUAAUAGCCACAUCACUAGGAUGAUUUAUAAUUUAUAAACUGAUUAUGAAAGUUUAAAGGGUAUUUUACACACCUCAAAUCCCAAUCUCGUGUCACAUCCCAAUAAAAUGAAUAUAACGAGUUCAAGACACUUGAAAGAAGCCAGAGAGGCCGAUAAAAAUUAGUCCAACUAUCAUGUAAGACAUGGUAUUUAAGGGCUGAAAGAAAAAUCACAGGUACUGCCGUUGAAUACUUUAAUGCUGAAACCAUAAGCAAAAAAAAAAACUUAUUAUGAUCCUGAAACAACAAAAUCAUAUGCAAUGCAGAUAACUAUGAGAUCCUUUCCGUUUUUCCCUCAGGUAGGGUGUCAUAGUUUCAGGUACAAUUUCACUACCAAUUAAGAUUCCAACUGCUACAAACUUGGAAGAAAUUGAAAUCCAUGACAACCUAAUGCUUGUAAAAAUUUCUGACCUAAAAACACACUAGUCAAACUUGAUAUUAUAAUUUUUCACUGUUGAAGAUGUUCUGCAGGUCCAGAUUCUGGAUUCCAGUUUAAAUUAUUUUGUCGAUGAAAUGAUGCACAAAACAAAAGGUAUUGUGGAAAAAUACUUAUUUAUAACUAGUUGUAAUUUUGUAAUCUGUAUAUUUAUAUUUGUAUCUCUAAAAUUAAAUAUUUGUAUCCUUAGAAUUAAGGACAAAAAAUUAAGAUAGACAAUCCUUCAUUUAUAGGAUCAGUUUUAGGAAGAUUUAGUUUCCUAAUUUACCCACUAGUUAGUUAUAUAUAAACUUAAGGUAUUUGUAUAAUUAUGUAUGAGCAGUUUUUCAAUAUACAUUCAGUUUUACUCUUAGUUUUUCACACAAUUUUAUUUCUUAGUUUUUCCACAAGUAUCAAGGUUGAAACAAACAUAAAUUCAAGACUUUCAUUACCUAAUUCCAUCUAACAUUUUUUUGCUGAUUUGCAAAGCAGGGAGCUAGCCCACAAUUACCAGGAGCACAUAUUAUCACCACAUGCAGCUCAAGUGCAUUUUAAAUUCAUGUUGACUUGACAGAACCACAACCAACACAUUCAUUACCCCACCCAAAAACAUGCAAAAGUCAAAACUAAAAGCAAAAUGAUAUAGGGAGGAAGGCAGGUGGUGAAGGAGGAAAACAUUAAUAUUUAGAAAGUUAGUAAGAGAUGCACCAUUUAAAAGUGUUGAUCUUUCACUAGUAUCCUUGUAUUGUCGAAGACAUUGGAAAAACCGAAAAAGGUAAGGCAAAACAAGAACCAAAGGGAUUGCAAUGGAGUGACUGCCACAAACAGAAUCAGCUUCAAACCAUGCAAUAGUGGCAACCUGCAUGAGUAAGAAAUCUCUCUCAAAAAUACAGAAGGAAAACCUUGUGAGUUUUCGCAGACAACAUCCAAGUCAAGUAAGAAUAUUACAAUAAUAAUAUUUUCAAGCUUCCUUCCUCAAGGUUUAUAAACAAAAAUGUUCUUGUUUUCGUUUUUUUUUUUUUUUUUUAAAGAAGAGAAAAGGAUAAUUCUGGUUGUUUCCACACUUCAACUCCAUGCCUCAUUAAACCAAAGCAACCACGUACAAAUCCAAAACCAUUUGAACACGGAUAUUGAGAAAGCCACAUGAUAAAUCAACAUGAUUAGAUGAAACAUAUUUCUAUCAAAGGACUAUCUAGCAUGAAACUACCUAUUUAGCUGAAAAACAUAGUAAAAUUUAAUAUGAAUUCCUCUUACUGUACUCUUCACGUCUAUCAGACCCUACAGGACAGUGGAGCAUCAUUUUGAUGGCAUUACCAUCCACUGUCCCAAUAAAUCUCAUGGAACUAGUAUGUUUAAGAACCAAAAAAGCUGUACCCUACAUUACAGCUAGUUUCUCUCAGCUAGUACCAAGGAUAAGAUGGAGCCAGAGUGGUUGAACUUCAAAAAACCAACAAAUUAAAGAACCACAAAAAUCUUAUCAAAGUCAGACCAAAAGGAAUAUCAGGCAUAUUUUUGUCCAUGUCAAGUGAAGUGAUGGUUACGAAGUCACCAUGAUUUUAAAGGCUCCCCUAUCCGUAACAUUCAUUAAUAUGAAUGACUGAAGCAGCAGUCAAUGUUUAAAACAAAUAGACAAACCUGUCGAUGGACCAUUCUACAAAUGGAACGUUCCAAAUCAGAAAAAACCUGCACAAAGUUUAAAACCAUUAAAUAUCUAGAAGCAGAAAUAAAAAGUAUUUGCUAACCAUCCUUGCUAUACACCAGUAUUCAUGUUUCACAUUAAGAAGUCAUUAAUCCAUAUGUACAACAAAAAACCAUUAAACAGUUACUCCUGAAGCACUAAUUAUAAGGGCACAAAAAUAAAUGGCAUGAAAUCAAUUUCAAUGGGGCAGUCAUCAUCUUAUUGGAAUACAACUAUUACAACAACCAUAACAACAAAUCAAGCCUUGUCUCACUACAAGCGGGUCAGCUACAUGGAUCAUAUUGCACCGAUUUGCUCAUUUUUUAAGUUACAUCUUCAGCAACCUAGUUCAUGCCACAAGCCUCAAUUAGGUGCAAUUUCACCAAGCUUUCAGUAGGGUCUCUUUCUCUAUGUUAGAGGGUCUCUAGCUCUAAGCAUUUGAAAAUUUGUUGAGUAGAACACAUACCUUUGCCAUAGAGGUCAAAAUAUCAGCCAAGAAAAAGUCGGAAAAAGUUAUUGCCUGCAUUCACCAUAACAAUUAAAUACAACAUAUCCACAUAAUAUAAAAGCAAGAAAUAAAAUAUAAAAAAGAAUGUGCCCCUCUUUUUUGUGAGGUUUGGAUGAGCAUGGCCAAACAUAGAAGAUUGUUAGUUCAUGGUCUGCAUACAUGCAGCCACUACAACAAGAAUAUAAGUUCCUAUAGUACAAGGAUUAGGAUAGUUCACACGUAAAAUUCUAGUUGCAUCAUGUACUAAUAGGUUAAACAUUAUCAGGAACCACAAGAUUAGUGCAGCCAAAGAUCAUCAACCAAGUUGAAAAACAAGACCCUUUUGCGUAAGUUCUUGGAAGAGUUAAAGUUGCAGACAUAGAUUUACACUAAAGUAUGUCAUGCACCUUUUCUUUGAUCAAAGAAAAGAACAUGAAGCAAAAAUCAAUUGAACUUCAAGACAAAUAAAUUCUGACUUGCUUAUCAGUUUUAAAAACUUCCAUACAAGUUAGAUACCUACUUGCUAUCUAUUAUUCAGAAGAACUUGACAUGACUAAUAACUUCCUUUGCAAAAGAGAUAUGCAACAUAAUGGACAAGUUAACAGAUUACUUGCUAGGCUUCUUAUAUUUUGACAGGUAAAUCUAAUGGACAAGUUGAUGGAUAAGAAAGAUAUUUAUUGAGCUUAUAGUUUGAAAUUUCAUGACUCAUGAGAAUAUAACAGAUUGAUAAGUUACUGAUGGUAUGAAAAUUAUCAGAUAUGUCCAUAGAGAUAACAGGCACACCUGUAGUGGAAUAAUUAUCCGCCAAAGAGUCCUUAGCAAGUAGUAACGGGAUGAAAAAUAAAAGAUGUCAAAAGGGAAUAUCAGAAUCAUCACAACUGCAAAAUAUAAAAGCACCUGCAGUAGAAAACAUGUAAAAUUUAGUGAUGUGCAGAAAUGGUAAGGAGUAAGUGUGCCUAGAACAUCUCUUAAGAACGUGCUUUGGUGGAACUGUAACUGGGAAAUCAGGAAUGACCCUUCAGAAUGAGGAUAGGUUUUGUUUGUAGGCUUAUCCUAUAUUAAUCAGUAACAGAACCAUGAAGAAAGUGCUGCAAUUUGUUCUUCACGUUGAAGAUGUUGAAACUAUAAUCAGCUUAUCAGUCAUGCAAGGAGCAAAAGAAUUAGCAUAUAAUAAUACACAUAGGAGAGGAUGCAUCUAUUACACUGGUUGAGAGGCAGCCAAUGAUACUUCUCCAUGAGAAUAAAGAUAAAGAUAUGCUGUCAUACUAGUAGGAACAAUGAUGGUCAUCCAUGUAGCACACUGCAGUUACAACAAUUGUAGAGAGUUAUUUGGGGAAACUUACCAAGUACUAUUAUUAACAAUAGCAAUUGGGCUCUAUGUAGAUUGUAGACAUUUCAAGCUAAAAAUAAAAACUAUAUAAAUAAAAAAAGAAAAUGAAACUAUUCCUUCAAAAGUAAAAUGAUCCUCUCUGUCUCUCUCACACACACAUACAGAAAUCAAAGCUAAAAAUGAAAACUAUAAAUGGCUCCAUCAAAAUAAUAAAUCAGCUACACAUACGUCAAAUGUACUGAAAUCCUAUUAAAGAAGCAGGGAUUUGGGACCAAGAUAAAUUUCACUAGUAUAUCAGAAAUAAACUGCAUUAGUUGUCAGCUACAUCGUAUAUCACUUGAAACACAAGGCAAGCAACUACAGUUUAUCCAUAAAGUGAUACUAGCAUACGAGAGGGUGAACAGCACACAGCAGACAACUUCUAAUCAAAACAACAUCUAACAGAUGUUAAAUAGUACACACUUCAAACACAAGGCGAGCAAAUAUAAUUUAUCCAUAAAAUGAUACCAGCAUACAAGAGGGUGAUCAGCAUGUAGCAGAAAACUUCUGAUCAAAACAACAUCUACAGCUAGUUGGAAAAUUCAAUUACCUUCCAUAUUUCUCUAUGAGUGAGAUGAUUCUGAUGAAGAUCAAAAAUUUUGGCAUAAUUGACAUUAGACUGAGAAAACACCCAUAAAUUGAUUCCCCAAAGCCAUACCAUUGUAGUCUGCAAUAUCAAAACCAGAAGAAAAAUCUCUUAUCAUGCAGGGUUCUUUUACACAACACACACACACAUUCAAAUUGGAUAAAGAAGAGUUAGAUUAACAUAACAUAUUCUCUUUUAGAAAAUCUUACUAACCACAAGAAGAAGAGGAUUAUAAUACAAAAAUGCCUCAUAUAGAAAUAGGUCUCGUAAGUCCACACUCAUUCUCAUUACAGAAUGCCAUCCAAUCUGCAAUGUUUUGACAUACACAAUGAGAACUUGUAAGCAACAUGAACAAAUCUUAUAGUCCUUUGAUAUUACUUCUAUUAACAUCAAAUUUGAACUUUAUAGCUUGAAAUAAGUAUUAUAUAAAAUAAGACUAACCUUGCUACAGAUGAAACCCCAGACCAAGAACAACAGAACCUGGAUAUCUAAAUAGAUCAGGAUUCUAGAAAGUUGAGAAAUUAUAGAUAAAAAAGGGGAAAACAAUGUGGAGGAAACUUUUUUAACACAUACCAUAAAGAUGCAGCUACUUUUCCAUUUUGUAACUAAAGUAAUGACAAAAAUUGAAUUCAAAUCAUGGAAUGCAUUUUUCUUUGAAUUUAACCACUCUACAUUUAUUAAACAAAUGAAAAGACCAAAAAAGAAGGAAACUAAAUGGAUAAUUAACAGAAAGCAUAUAAUUGAAAACAAACCUUGAGUCUCCAUAAUAAUAUAGGUGAUGGCACUAUUGCAACAGUAACCAUUGGUAUAGUUGCAUUCUUCAAUCCAUUUACCUCUAUGGGAUGAAAGUGACUAUUCUCAACACCAUUUCCCAAUUCGUCACCUAACAAAUAUUCUACAAAUAUUAGGUCUACGAAGCAUAAUUAAAUAACAACAGCCUUUAAUUCCAAGAGUCAUGUGCUUAUAAUUCUUGUACCAAUAUCAGAUACAACAACUCUGCUACCAGACUUUCUCAAAUGCGGGCUAUUGAUAGGAGCUGCCACCGGACCUCCAAACAUAGAUGUAUCUAGAAGAUGGUAAAGCUAUUAGCACCACUCCGGCUACACUACUAACCUGCAACACAUAAUAUUGAAUAGAAAUAUGGAAGAAAAUAACAGCAUAUGGAUAAGCAUAUCUUAUAUAAUCGGUAGGCACGAGCAUGUCAUUUAACAAGCUUAUAUCUAAGUUCAGUGCUGACAUUUCUUCCAAGAAUGAGUUAACCAGACAUUCUUAGGGUGAGAUGGUCAUUUAGAAAAAAUGGGUUAGUUAAUGCAACAGCAUAGCAAAUUUAGACAACAUUACAAAGUAAAAACAGACAUACAUUAAUUUAGUAAACCUUAAUCCUACUGUUGAUCACCCAACAUUGUAAGCCAACCACAUAACAUCCAAUUAUAUAAUUAACCUUACAUGCUUACAUGCAUAGAGUCCAAAGAGAAUCAAGAAAAAGAAAAGAAAAAUAAAAUCCAUACAUAAAAGUUUAGCCUUACCUAUCAAAGUUCCCGGCAAUGAUGUCCCCGAUAAGAGAGCUUGGCGCUGCCCAAUAUCUAAAGAAACGAAAACAAAUGGAAAACUAAGGAAUUUCCAGUUCCUAUAAAACAGGAAGAAUUUGUUUCGGGUGAAGAUAUCAACUGCCACAAUUUUCUGGGAAAGUUUUUUUUUUGGAACCCUGAUCAGAACAGAAUUAUACUUAAAAAGAAAAAGUGUCGACAGAUAAUAAUGCUUCGAAUACUGCGAUAGAUUGAAAUUCCGACUUCCUUUUAUGGAUCUCAAAACAACCUGAAUUUUUGGGCUGCUUGAAUGAAUUAUAAGGAAACGGAGCCAAAGGGUGAUUAAAUUGCUUUUGCAGGACCUGAUUACAAUGUAAAAGCAAGUGCGGGGUUGGAUUUCGGAUUCAAGGUAAAACAUAAAGGCGUGUUUGGUUCGCUUUCAUAAACGUGUUUUCGGGACCCGGCUGAUGAAAUUGUGAAAAUGAGAAAUGUUAAAU